CCCCAGAUGUUGCUGAACUACAACUCCCAUCAUGGGAGUUGUAGUUCAGCAACAUCUGGGG
Molecule: microRNA precursor, 61 nt
Filed under: Pelobates cultripes (western spadefoot toad)
Lineage: Eukaryota; Metazoa; Chordata; Amphibia; Anura; Pelobatidae
Source: RNAcentral